GGCUCAAUGAUUGCAAGCCUAUUUGGCCGUAUACGCUAUUCCGAAUUUAGAUGAUAGACAUCUUUAGAUUUAUGAGAGCU
Malania oleifera is the source of this 80-nucleotide small nucleolar RNA. RefSeq annotates it as small nucleolar RNA U54. The transcript has a single exon. NCBI's taxonomy places the organism in Eukaryota, Viridiplantae, Streptophyta, Magnoliopsida, Santalales, Ximeniaceae. The record is from RefSeq and is a predicted model, not a curated record.